UUCUGAUGAACCAUUAGGCCUCUUUUGCCCUUGCAAGUCUACAACACUGGAAUCAGAAAACCCAUGAACCUCCUUUGGAACCUCAGGACCACCAGCUCCAAUAAAACGCUUAGGGCCAUCAUCAUGAUGAGAGAUCAACCGUGAAAUUGAACCCUCUACUUCAGACUCUGCCACAUCUUCAUUUUCAGCAGUAGAGCCAUCUUCUGUUGUUAUGGAAAUAUGUGACGCUUUCUUGUCAUGUACGAAUGAUAAGCAUCUCUCUCAUGCUUCUUCUGAUUAUUUAUCUCAUCAAAUAACAUUUUACGUUUGUUACCUGCCUCUGGUCUUUUUUCUUCUUCAAUUUCAGCAGGUCUUUUGCCGCUCGAAACCCAAAGCCCCCUAUUGUUCAAGUUUAUUGAAGCAUUUGCAUCAGCAUUGCCCUUGGACAGGUCAUUAAAGAAGUUCUCCUGAGGUUUCACAGAAUCACUUAUUUGAGACCCAGCACUUGAAUCCUGCUUCUGGGUACUAGCAUGAAGAAAGUUUUUGAAAUCAUCUACCAAUUUGUUGCCUCUAUCACCUUCUUCUGUCCUAGUAUCUGAAGAGCCAUUUUUACCUUUGGAUUUCGCAGAUGAUCCUCCACAACCUAAACCAAGGCUAAGCUCCAGGCCAUUCUCAUCCUCCAUGUCAGCAAUCAAUAGAUGUCAACCUGGCCAAGUAAGACCUCUUACAAUACCCAAUUUUUCGUAGACUGCUCCUCAAAUGGUACCCUGGUAUAAAGAGAUGACCAUCUCCUGAUAACCUCAGGCGAAGACUAGAGAGCGGUGUACGGUUCAGAGAAAGAGAAAGGUUGAGGGAGAGAGAAGGCAAAACAAGUUGAUGUUUUG
This 863-nucleotide unclassified non-coding RNA is filed under the name Hevea brasiliensis (rubber tree). Lineage: Eukaryota; Viridiplantae; Streptophyta; Magnoliopsida; Malpighiales; Euphorbiaceae. The record is from RNAcentral.